RNAcentral lists this ribosomal RNA (490 nucleotides) under uncultured bacterium. RNAcentral describes it as "partial 16S ribosomal RNA". It matches the Rfam family "Bacterial small subunit ribosomal RNA", at positions 30 to 507 of the family's 1533-position model. The record is from RNAcentral.
AUUGAACGCUGGCGGCAGGCCUAACACAUGCAAGUCGAACGGUAACAGGAAACAGCUUGCUGUUUCGCUGACGAGUGGCGGACGGGUGAGUAAUGUCUGGGAAACUGCCUGAUGGAGGGGGAUAACUACUGGAAACGGUAGCUAAUACCGCAUAACGUCGCAAGACCAAAGAGGGGGACCUUCGGGCCUCUUGCCAUCGGAUGUGCCCAGAUGGGAUUAGCUAGUAGGUGGGGUAACGGCUCACCUAGGCGACGAUCCCUAGCUGGUCUGAGAGGAUGACCAGCCACACUGGAACUGAGACACGGUCCAGACUCCUACGGGAGGCAGCAGUGGGGAAUAUUGCACAAUGGGCGCAAGCCUGAUGCAGCCAUGCCGCGUGUAUGAAGAAGGCCUUCGGGUUGUAAAGUACUUUCAGCGGGGAGGAAGGGAGUAAAGUUAAUACCUUUACUGAUUGACGUUACCCGCAGAAGAAGCACCGGCUAACUCCGUG